GUUCAAUGUUAAAAAAAGAAAACCCCAAUAUCUUAUCCUUUGUGUGACCAUGCAGGUUCAGGCUGUUGAAGAUACUGAAUACAUCAGCGAGAUAUGCCCUUAUAGCAAGCCACUUGAAAUCAUAGAAAUGGUCAUGAAGAAAUUAUUUUUUAUCUCAUCUCUCAUUUCAAAACCUCCUUCCUUGUGAAUAGCCAACGUAUGUCAUUAUCUAUCAGUGACUGCAAUGUCAUCCUGUUCCAAUGUUCACCAUUUCCUUUGUGGCAUCCUGUGGGAGCUGCUCCCAGAGCUUACACAAAGAAGUGGAUCUGAGCAGUGCAACGGGUGGAGUGUGCUGGACAACAUGAUACUCUUCCCAGAUCUUCCCUACGGAUGAAGGACAAAUUCCUCUUGCUGCUGGGAACGCUCCUGGAAGAUGGCUCUCAGCUGUUAGCCCCUUCAAGAGAUUGCUUUGGCUGAGGAAACUUCCUUGCCCAAAGGACAGCUUACAUCCAACGACCCAUCAAUGAGGGGGUAUGAAGUUUUGUCCCCUCAUCUCAAUUCAGUUAAACUCCGAAGACCUAUCUCCUAGGGCCACACCUCCCUGGGGGACAAGCUGAGGACUUUGUUGGAAUGCAUUGCAGCUCAACUUCUGCCUCUGCCCAAUCUUGCUUCCUUUCUCCCCCUUCAGCAGAUGUUGAUACCAAGCAUAUGCCUUAAUAAACAUCCUGUAUGCUAAUCUCCAUCCCAGAGACUGCUUCUUGGGGAACACUUUCAAAACUGAAUCAAGACCAUCCAGGCCUGUGGCCAACAGCCAACUGAUCUCUUUGAGGGAAGCAGUGAAUAGACUGGUGUUCAGAUGUGCCCUCUUCAGUUCACUGGGAAUUCCUUCCUUGAUGCUCACAGAGGUGGAACUUCACCAAAACGGAUGCCAAUGUGCUCUCCCACUUUACAUCUUGGCUCACAAAAUAAGUCUUGUUCAAAUGAAAAUAGUCUUCAUGUAGAGCAUGGAUUUACAGAGAUAAACAGAAAUCAGGUAGAGCAUAGCUCAGUUAAAAUAAGUCUUGUAGAUUGUGGUUACGAUUACACAACGUUAUAUAUUUAUUUAAUGCCACUGC
Molecule: long non-coding RNA, 1094 nt
Organism: Equus caballus (horse)
Lineage: Eukaryota; Metazoa; Chordata; Mammalia; Perissodactyla; Equidae
Source: Ensembl